RNAcentral lists this ribosomal RNA (444 nucleotides) under uncultured organism. RNAcentral describes it as "partial 16S ribosomal RNA". It matches the Rfam family "Bacterial small subunit ribosomal RNA", at positions 335 to 796 of the family's 1533-position model. The record is from RNAcentral.
ACUCCUACGGGAGGCAGCAGUGGGGAAUAUUGGACAAUGGGCGCAAGCCUGAUCCAGCCAUGCCGCGUGAGUGAUGAAGGCCCUAGGGUUGUAAAGCUCUUUCACCGGUGAAGAUAAUGACGGUAACCGGAGAAGAAGCCCCGGCUAACUUCGUGCCAGCAGCCGCGGUAAUACGAAGGGGGCUAGCGUUGUUCGGAUUUACUGGGCGUAAAGCGCACGUAGGCGGACUAUUAAGUCAGGGGUGAAAUCCCGGGGCUCAACCCCGGAACUGCCUUUGAUACUGGUAGUCUUGAGUUCGAGAGAGGUGAGUGGAAUUCCGAGUGUAGAGGUGAAAUUCGUAGAUAUUCGGAGGAACACCAGUGGCGAAGGCGGCUCACUGGCUCGAUACUGACGCUGAGGUGCGAAAGCGUGGGGAGCAAACAGGAUUAGAAACCCCGGUAGUCC